Non-coding RNA from Paramuricea clavata, 275 nucleotides. The record is from the annotation of a GenBank genome assembly. NCBI's taxonomy places the organism in Eukaryota, Metazoa, Cnidaria, Anthozoa, Malacalcyonacea, Plexauridae.
GUUCGUAUAUAGCGAGAAGCGGACCCGCGAUCUCCGAGGUGAAAGUCGCUUGCUCUGGCGACUGCACCACCGAAGCACCCUUCCCUCUACCUUGAAACACAGUAAAAAUAUUACUUUCAAGCGCGGUUCAAUCAAAUAUCACUUCGUUGAACCACAUGCUUCGUUGAACCGCCGCAUGCAAACCAAGAAUCUCAGGUCUGAAAACAAUAAAUUCGAAUGCUUUUCGUUUUAAUUUAUUUGCUCUAUUUGAAAUAUUUUGGGUUUACUCAUUUGAG